CGGACGGGUGAGUAACGCGUGGGUAACCUGCCUUGUACGAGGGGAUAACAGUUGGAAACGGCUGCUAAUACCGCAUAAGCGCACGGCAUCGCAUGAUGCAGUGUGAAAAACUCCGGUGGUAUAAGAUGGACCCGCGUUGGAUUAGCUAGUUGGUGAGGUAACGGCCCACCAAGGCGACGAUCCAUAGCCGACCUGAGAGGGUGACCGGCCACAUUGGGACUGAGACACGGCCCAA
RNAcentral lists this ribosomal RNA (235 nucleotides) under uncultured bacterium. RNAcentral describes it as "partial 16S ribosomal RNA". It matches the Rfam family "Bacterial small subunit ribosomal RNA", at positions 99 to 334 of the family's 1533-position model. The record is from RNAcentral.